UAGCCGUAAGCGAUACUCGCUAGGUGUCGGCCACGGUGCGACCGUUGUCGGUGCCGUAGGGAAGCCGUGAAGCGAGCCACCUGGGAAGUACGGCCGCAAGGCUGAAACUUAAAGGAAUUGGCGGGGGGAGCACAACAACGGGUGGAGCUUGCGGUUUAAUUGGAUUCAACGCCGGAAAUCUUACCGGGACCGACAGCAACAUGAAGGCCAAGCUGAAGACUUUGCCGGAUUAGCUGAGAGGUGGUGCAUGGCGUAGUCGUGU
Molecule: ribosomal RNA, 262 nt
Filed under: uncultured archaeon
Lineage: Archaea
Description: partial 16S ribosomal RNA
Rfam family: Archaeal small subunit ribosomal RNA
Source: RNAcentral